RNAcentral lists this transfer RNA (65 nucleotides) under Dipodomys ordii (Ord's kangaroo rat). It matches the Rfam family "tRNA". From Rfam's summary of the family: Transfer RNA (tRNA) molecules are approximately 80 nucleotides in length. Their secondary structure includes four short double-helical elements and three loops (D, anti-codon, and T loops). Lineage: Eukaryota; Metazoa; Chordata; Mammalia; Rodentia; Heteromyidae. The record is from Rfam by way of RNAcentral.
GGUGGCUCAGUGGUAAAGCGCUUGCCUUGCAUGCAGGAGGCCCUAGGUUCGAUUCCUCAGCACCA